GUCCCUGUAGGGCAAUGGGUAGCGCGUUGGGCUUCUAAUCCAAAGUUUGUGGGUUCGAAUCCUAUCAGGGAUG
This is a non-coding RNA of Trichonephila inaurata madagascariensis, 73 nucleotides long. NCBI's taxonomy places the organism in Eukaryota, Metazoa, Arthropoda, Arachnida, Araneae, Nephilidae. The record is from the annotation of a GenBank genome assembly.